CAAAACUUAAAGAGACGUUUUAACUUAUUUGAAGAUGUGCUGGUAUUAAUUGUAGGGGUGGGGAGGGAAAAGGAGUGGUUUACAUUUUCUUUCUAGCCUUGCCCACACCAUGUUUCCCCCAGACAACCAAGCUCAACCACUUUAAGGCAAAAUGAUGAAAUUAUAACAAACCAUGUGUUAUGGCUCCCUCUGCCCGGGGAAGAAUGAACUGUUGCAAUGGAUGCAUUCUCUAUGCACCAAGCAGGGGGUGAUCAGAAGGAUGAAGAAAUCUGCUUUGCACUAGUUUUAUCUGGAUGUUUGGGGAUGAUCAGCCUCUCAGCUGUGGAAAUGCAAACUGUGGGGCACCAGCAGCAGCUGGUGGGUACUAAUUUAAUACCUCUUCAAAGAGCGAGGGCUCCCCAAUAGGGUUUAUGAAACAAAUGCACUGAUGUGGCUUCUGCAUUAACCAUUGUGGCCUUCUGGGACAUCCCGGGUGAGUGACGAGGGCUCACCAAGGCUGUGCUGUAGGAAGCCCUUUCCAGAUGGUUGGGUUUUUUUUGGGAGGAUGAACUACUUUGUGAUGUUCUGCAAAGCCCUGUUGGGGCUGGGGAAGGGGAAGGAAAGUGUGGCUGAAAAACGAUGCCAAAUUUUAAGUAGGAACUUUCACUUGGUCCCACUUGCAAAUGGCAGAAGUGGCUUUGUGUCAAGUGUUCAUCUGGAAUCUUCUGCUUUGAGCUAAACCUGAAGCGAUGGGGCAGCAGCAGCUGGACACAUGUUUUUGUUCAUGCCUUUCAUUUGUUGUCAUCAUUGUCUCUGGCCUGUGUUCCUGGUGUUUUGCUUUCCCUGUUGCUUGGCAGAUUUGCCUCCGUGUGUGCAAGGCUUGUUUUCCUGCAGGGUGGCAUUGAAAAACCAGCACAAAUUUGGUUUCAUCUGUGAACUCGCAGGAGUCUGUGGUGUCGGUGAGCUGUGGUUGUCAGGUUUUUCUUAGAUGCUUGGGCAGCCAGGAGAUCCUUUAGAGGAGCCAACAGCUUUAAGGCAUUCCUCUGAUGUCAAAUGGAGCUUUUGCAUGCACUGCGAAGGUACCAGCUAGGCCUGGGGCUCCCAGAUCUGUUUAGCUCAUAGCCUGCUCCUUAUGAUGGUGGCAGCAGGCAGUGCUCUGCUGUUUGGGAGCCCCUUGCCAGAGCAGCAUUGAGUAAUUCACUUGAGGCUCUCUACAAAAUGACUUGCUGAGGCAAGAACACAGCUGUAUCAUCUUCACUGGGCAGGUAGUAAGUGUUACCCCUGCUGAAGUAUUAUCUUUUUUGAUAUAUUCUCCUUGCAAUGGGCACCUCAAAUCAGCAAAAGCCCUCUCUGAACAGGGUAAUGCUUGGGCUGGUACAGGAGUACAGUGUCAUCAGAUCUCCCUCUAGAAGCCUUAGGAAAUAAGAUAUAUUAGACCUAUUCCCAUCUGCAGCUUAUUCCCAUGAUUCCCAUCUGAUCCGAGGGUCUCGGAUCAGAGCAUCCUCAGUCUAACCAGCCGAAUCUGCUCCCAGUUGACACCCUGGGGCUCAGUGAGGUGGUCCUAGGGGCAAACCCCCAUCUGGUGCACAGACACCAGCUGCAGGUUGGCCCUCGGAUGCACGAGAGCUGAAUUUGCACCCUUAGCCUGCAGGUUGAUCUACUGCCAGCUUCUGGAAGCAUCAGAUAGUGGCUUUUCAGUGGUAUAUACCCUUUUCGUAUUUACACUUCAUGAUUUUAGAAGCAAUUGCUAAUAGCUAGACAAAAUACUGCUGCUUUGCACCAAGCUGGUUAAAGGCUCUAGUUUUAUGGCCUCAUUUACUUAGACCGCAUAUACAGAAAUUAUGCUAUAAAAGCUUUAAAGCAUCAGCCAGUUUGCUUCAAUGCUCAGUUUUAUUCUUUGUCAGAUAGCAUUUUUGAAAUCUGCCCUUCUGCCAAAGCUGUUACUGAAGCAUUUAUCAAUAGUGCUAGAAUUUCCUGGGUAACUUUCUCUGGACUGCUAGAAACAGCCUAACCCCAACUGAGAAAUACUUGUAGACCUAUUUUGAUCAAGUCAGUCCAAGCCUGGUGAUUUAAAUCUCUUAAUUUCAGAGCCUUGCUUUGAGUGAAUGGCUACGUGCUGCUAAACUAGAGAAUCAGUUUUUUAGGAGCAAGAUUUACAUUGGAGAAAAUUGGGGCCGUGGUGAGUAUUUAAGGUUAAAAUAAAACGUACUAGAACAUGUAUUUAGUGAACGUUGUCUAAAAGUUGUCUUCUGUUUUAAUGUGCAUGUGUGUCCUCUCUGCUGUAUGCACACAUCCUUUGCUCAGCUUUUAGCAAUCUCUCAGCUGAUCCCUGGCCCACGAAGUGGGAAUACCUCUGUGUAGACUGCUACAGCUUGUUGGCUAGAGCAGGGGAUCAAGGCAACACCAAAAGCUGUUCAGGUUUCCAAGGACCCAUGUAUCCUGGCCUCUCUUCACUCUCUUCUCUUCCCCCUCCUCAUUAAUCACUGCUCCAAUGUACUAAUGUCACAUCAGCUUAGCAAAAUGAUUUCACUACAAGUCCAUCUAUAGAGAGUAAAGCAACACUCAGAGGCUGCUUCAUAAAGAUGCCAGUGCCUGUGGCAUGCCCCAGUGGGUCUGCAGAGCUUGUUUCUGGGUGUUUGCUGGAGCCACUGUGGUCGUGUCUCUUGCUGUGGGUUUCUGGGAUGUAUUCUUAAGGAUGCCAAAGGAAUUUACUCAGCCUCUUGGUAAAUGCGUUUCUGUACAUGAGGCUCUAGGUGAGCUG
Molecule: long non-coding RNA, 2740 nt
Organism: Strigops habroptila (Kakapo)
Lineage: Eukaryota; Metazoa; Chordata; Aves; Psittaciformes; Psittacidae
Source: Ensembl